AAGAGGCGGGGACAGCCCGGGGCCAGGCUUUCCCGCCAGCCCCGCCCCCACGUGGCAGCUCCGCCCCGCCCCGUGCCAGGCUUUCCCGCCAGCCCCGCCCCCACGUGGCAGCUCCGCCCCGCCCCGCGCCAGGCUUUCCCGCCAGCCCCGCCCCCACGUGGCCGCCCCGCCCCGCUUGAUGCUAGGGGUGCAUCAUUCAUCCUAGGCUUAUCAGCAGUGUAAGCUCUGCUGUGUUGAUUGCAGCUGUCAAUUGCCUUGUUACUACAAAACCCAGAAGAAACCCAUCCGCAUUCCCACUUCUUGACGAGACAUGUAAAGUGCUGCACUUCGGGAUGAGCAACCCCCAACACACCUACAGGCUUGGCGGCACCAAACUGACCAGCACCACAAAUGAAAGGGCCCUGGGGGUAAUAAUAGACCACAGUAUGAAUAUGAGCUGGCAGUGCGAUGCUGUAGCUAGUAGGGCAAAUAAUACUCUGGCAUGCAUCAAUCGAGCAAUCAAACCAUGCAUUUAAGCAAUCAAACCAAGGAGGUCGGCAUUCAAUCAAACCAAGGAGGUGAUUCUGCCACUGUACUCAGCGCUGGUGAGACCAUAGCUGGGGUACUGCGUUCAGUUUUGGGCAUUGCACUUUAACAAGGACACGGACAAGAUUGAGAGAGUCCAAAGAAACGCCACCCAUAUGAUCAGAGUCUUACACGGCAAGGAAAGCCAUACGAGGAAAGUGUGAGGGAUCUGGGACUCUUCAGCCUGAGGAAAAGAAGGCUGAGAGGGGACUUGGUAGCAGCUUACUGCUACACUAGGGAAGUACAUCAAGGGCUCGAUGAUCAACUGUUCACCAGGGCACCUGAGGGGAAAACAAGGAGUAAUGGCCACAAACUCCUGGAAGAUCAAUUCAGGCUCAGCAUUAGGAAAAACUUCUUCACAGUCAGGGUGUUCAGACUGGAAUAAGCUCCCUCCAGAGGUGGUGCAAUCACCUACCCUGGAAAUCUUCAAGAGGAUCCUGGACAGUCACCUCGCUGGGGUCACCAGACCCACAGUUAUCUUUCUUGCUUGGUGCAGGGGGCUGGACCUGAUGAUCUGAAGUUCCUUCCGGCCUUACAAUCUAUGAAUCUAUGAAUCUCUCUGCUCAGCAGCACUGUACCUAGACUCCUGGUGUCCCCGGGCAAACUUUUAGUAUCAGCACCCGCUUCGCCAGAGAUUAGGAUAAUAAUAAUCAGACAACAACAAAAAAAUUACCAUUUUUGGUGCUGCCUGGUUCACCCAUGCCUGUGCCAGCCCUGCUGCUCAACCCUGCCACUUGGGGAUCUGCCUGUCAAGUAUAUAACUCAGGUAUCCUGCUUGUCCAUAAAACAGUGGGUCAUGAAAAAUAAAACCUUCAAGGCAUUAGGCCUCAACAAUUACAUUCUUCUGAUUAACACACUGUGUUUCCCUCACUUCCAUUCUAGUAUGGAUUUUGGUGCUAUAUGUAGAACUACUGGAUGCUGUACACAGGAACCCAAAUGCUUCAUAUCUGAGAGAUUAGAAUACACCCAAAUUGUGUCUCACAAAUAGAGUUUAUAAGAUUAGCUGCUGAAACUAUGCUGUUAUUGAGGGAUGUGGGGGGAAAAUUCAAGAUGGUGAAUUUGAUGCUUGCUGGCUUGAUGUGCUAGGGCUAGAAACACUCCAGUGCAUUUGCAAGACCAGUGAUUUUUUUUCCUUACGUGCUUCACCUGGACCGGUAAUCAGAAAUUUAAUUAUGUUAGUUCAUAUUGGGACAUACAGGGCAUGUCUACACAUGCAUUAAUGCACUUUUCCUAAUGCAUAUUAAAUUUAGUACCUCCAAUACGAGGUACUAAAAUGUGCAUUAGGCUGCGCUAAUACUUGGUAGAGCAAGCACACGCUUUUUAGGUGAUGCUUAAUGCACAGUUGUCUAUUCUGUGCAUUACCGUAUUGGCACGGUUUUUGACACUGCUUUAAUGUGCAGUAGAAAAGGCUACUACGCAUUAAAGCGCAUGUGUAGAUGUGCCCAUACAGGCAAGAGAAGGACAGAAUGGGCAUUUUUGUUUUAAUUUUAGUUUUGAAUUUUCCCUUUGCAUUUUAGGGCAUCUCCAUGGUUCAAUACCUCUGUCCUCUGUUUCAUCACCCGUCCUUCUACUUCCUUACUGCCUCCUACUCUAGUUUUGGGUGUACAACAGGUAAUAAUACAGUUGCCCACUGCUGCUAUUCAAAUACAUUUCCCUCUUCCAAUGUGGUCAUGUCCUCUCCAUAAUCUGAAUGUGUCCUCAAAGAUAGGCUUCUUUACUUUUCAUUCCAUCCAGGAAGAGCACACACCAACUGCUGAAACUUUCUUAGCCUGAUGAAGGGUUUUUGAACCCGAAAGCUUGCUUAAUAACUAUUCUCCGACUAUUUGGGUUGGUCUAAUAAAAGAUAUCAAAUUCA
Long non-coding RNA from Alligator mississippiensis (American alligator), 2419 nucleotides. RefSeq lists it as uncharacterized. The record is from RefSeq and is a predicted model, not a curated record. The transcript has 2 exons. Lineage: Eukaryota; Metazoa; Chordata; Crocodylia; Alligatoridae.